Molecule: unclassified non-coding RNA, 201 nt
Filed under: Hevea brasiliensis (rubber tree)
Lineage: Eukaryota; Viridiplantae; Streptophyta; Magnoliopsida; Malpighiales; Euphorbiaceae
Source: RNAcentral
GAACAGAGUCGGACCCUUUUGAGCCCACCUUCCUUCCCCUUUCCUCAUCAAUGUCAUCGUCUUCAUUUUCAUCUCCACGAAUUUGAUCGUCGUAGUCAUCAUCUUCAUCCUCUUCUUCACCACCACCGCCAAUCCUCCUCUUCUUCAAUGGCUUCCUCUCUGGUUCGUCUUCCUCCCCUUCCGACGCCGACGAGCCAUACU